CGAAUGCUGACAUAAGUAACGAUAAAGCGGGUGAAAAGCCCGCUCGCCGGAAGACCAAGGGUUCCUGUCCAACGUUAAUCGGGGCAGGGUGAGUCGACCCCUAAGGCGAGGCCGAAAGGCGUAGUCGAUGGGAAACAGGUUAAUAUUCCUGUACUUGGUGUUACUGCGAAGGGGGGACGGAGAAGGCUAUGUUGGCCGGGCGACGGUUGUCCCGGUUUAAGCGUGUAGGCUGGUUUUCCAGGCAAAUCCGGAAAAUCAAGGCUGAGGCGUGAUGACGAGGCACUACGGUGCUGAAGCAACAAAUGCCCUGCUUCCAGGAAAAGCCUCUAAGCAUCAGGUAACAUCAAAUCGUACCCCAAACCGACACAGGUGGUCAGGUAGAGAAUACCAAGGCGCUUGAGAGAACUCGGGUGAAGGAACUAGGCAAAAUGGUGCCGUAACUUCGGGAGAAGGCACGCUGAUAUGUAGGUGAAGUCCCUCGCGGAUGGAGCUGAAAUCAGUCGAAGAUACCAGCUGGCUGCAACUGUUUAUUAAAAACACAGCACUGUGCAAACACGAAAGUGGACGUAUACGGUGUGACGCCUGCCCGGUGCCGGAAGGUUAAUUGAUGGGGUCAGCGCAAGCGAAGUUCUUGAUCGAAGCCCCGGUAAACGGCGGCCGUAACUAUAACGGUCCUAAGGUAGCGAAAUUCCUUGUCGGGUAAGUUCCGACCUGCACGAAUGGCGUAAUGAUGGCCAGGCUGUCUCCACCCGAGACUCAGUGAAAUUGAACUCGCUGUGAAGAUGCAGUGUACCCGCGGCAAGACGGAAAGACCCCGUGAACCUUUACUAUAGCUUGACACUGAACAUUGAGCCUUGAUGUGUAGGAUAGGUGGGAGGCUUUGAAGUGUGGACGCCAGUCUGCAUGGAGCCGACCUUGAAAUACCACCCUUUAAUGUUUGAUGUUCUAACGUGGACCCGUGAUCCGGGUUGCGGACAGUGUCUGGUGGGUAGUUUGACUGGGGCGGUCUCCUCCUAAAGAGUAACGGAGGAGCACGAAGGUUGGCUAAUCCUGGUCGGACAUCAGGAGGUUAGUGCAAUGGCAUAAGCCAGCUUGACUGCGAGCGUGACGGCGCGAGCAGGUGCGAAAGCAGGUCAUAGUGAUCCGGUGGUUCUGAAUGGAAGGGCCAUCGCUCAACGGAUAAAAGGUACUCCGGGGAUAACAGGCUGAUACCGCCCAAGAGUUCAUAUCGACGGCGGUGUUUGGCACCUCGAUGUCGGCUCAUCACAUCCUGGGGCUGAAGUAGGUCCCAAGGGUAUGGCUGUUCGCCAUUUAAAGUGGUACGCGAGCUGGGUUUAGAACGUCGUGAGACAGUUCGGUCCCUAUCUGCCGUGGGCGCUGGAGAACUGAGGGGGGCUGCUCCUAGUACGAGAGGACCGGAGUGGACGCAUCACUGGUGUUCGGGUUGUCAUGCCAAUGGCACUGCCCGGUAGCUAAAUGCGGAAGAGAUAAGUGCUGAAAGCAUCUAAGCACGAAACUUGCCCCGAGAUGAGUUCUCCCUGACCCUUUAAGGGUCCUGAAGGAACGUUGAAGACGACGACGUUGAUAGGCCGGGUGUGUAAGCGCAGCGAUGCGUUGAGCUAACCGGUACUAAUGAACCGUGAGGCUUAACCUU
This 1654-nucleotide ribosomal RNA is filed under the name Escherichia coli. RNAcentral describes it as "partial 23S ribosomal RNA". It matches the Rfam family "Bacterial large subunit ribosomal RNA", at positions 1291 to 2925 of the family's 2925-position model. Lineage: Bacteria; Pseudomonadati; Pseudomonadota; Gammaproteobacteria; Enterobacterales; Enterobacteriaceae. The record is from RNAcentral.